GUCGAGAAUCUUUCACAAUGGGGGCAACCCUGAUGGAGCGACGCCGCGUGGAGGAUAAGGUCUUCGGAUUGUAAACUCCUGUCAUGCGUGAACAAGGUUGCUUGGUUAAUACCUGGGCAAAUUGAUGGUAACGCAAGAGGAAGAGACGGCUAACUCUGUGCCAGCAGCCGCGGUAAUACAGAGGUCUCAAGCGUUGUUCGGAAUCACUGGGCGUAAAGGGUGCGUAGGUGGCGGUGUAAGUCAGAUGUGAAAUCCCGGGGCUCAACCUCGGAACUGCAUCCGAUACUGCCAUGCUAGAGUACUGGAGAGGUGACUAGAAUUCUCGGUGUAGCAGUGAAAUGCGUAGAUAUCGAGAGGAAUACCAAAGGCGUAGGCAGGUCACUGGACAGUUACUGACACUGAGGCACGAAGGCCAGGGGAGCGAACGGGAUUAGAAACCCGUGUAGUCC
RNAcentral lists this ribosomal RNA (449 nucleotides) under uncultured bacterium. Its description in RNAcentral is "partial 16S ribosomal RNA". It matches the Rfam family "Bacterial small subunit ribosomal RNA", at positions 354 to 796 of the family's 1533-position model. The record is from RNAcentral.